Molecule: long non-coding RNA, 1536 nt
Filed under: Zostera marina
Lineage: Eukaryota; Viridiplantae; Streptophyta; Magnoliopsida; Alismatales; Zosteraceae
Description: long non-coding RNA (ZMAR_LNC002705)
Source: RNAcentral
UAAUUCUGAGUAGAUAGUUACAAGGCCCAUAUUCUCAAGGCCCAAUAGCUUAGUCCAAUAGCUUAGAGUAUAAAUAAUCUCUUUGUAAUUAUUUUUAUUACUUUUUCAACUUUUAUCUAAAAUUCAAACUCUAAACCCUAGAAGGGUUUCUCCCAAAACUCGCGACUCUUCACUCUCCUAACCCUAAGCCGACCUCCAGAGCUUCCGGUCGUCUUCGCCGCCUCAUCGCCGUCUGUAUUCUUGUCAUGGUACCAGAGCCCUGGUGGUGAAGCCCGUGUCGAGUUGCUGGAGCGUCGCUGUAACUAUUCUCUAAAAGAGUGCCAAAGGAGAAGAGUUUCUGUUCCGAUAUUCUUCGCUGAUCUUGAUCUUCAACAUCCGUCUGGACUACUGUCUCUAGACAGAUCUGGUAUUUCUAAACCCUAACAACAACAAAAAAAAAAAUAUACAAUCUUUAAAAAAAAAAAAAAAACUCCUAAAAUCAUUGCAUGUGAUCUUGCUCUUGCUUAGAUGUUUAGUCUCCAUAAUGUCAUGAUCUUUCGACUGCAUGCACGAUCAUCUAAACAUAAUCUACAUGCACUGUCACAUAAACAGAUCAUGACCAUGUUAGAGGGUACAUGCCCCCAUUAUUUUGGGAAUGUUCCCCACCUAUUAAAUCAUACAUACAUGCAUGCUCUUCUGAGAGAACAGGCUUCUGUCUCACCAAAUAAUUAUUUAAAACCAUCCUAUGCUAAAUGUGUACUGUUAUGCAUGACUACUAUGUAUAUUGCUUUGCAUGACUAUUGUACAUAUUGCUAUUCAAAGUCACCCCAUUCUAAUAUACAUUCUACUGUGCAUGACUUAAAUUGCAAGGGACUCUGUGUCUCCAUUCUUAUUGCAUAUAAGUACACAUCACAUAAACUGAUAUAUCACUAUACACUCACUAUCAUGUCUACAUCUACAUAUGGACCAAACUAUUCAUACUAUAAAUGCAAACAAUAUCAACUAUUCAUUUACAUCAUUAAAUCAUCUAUACAUAUUCAUGCUAUUGAUACUCACUCUGAUAAAUACACGCUUCCGCAUAAUUCUUUAUAUCACAUAAAGCAUAUUUGUAGAUUGCAAAUAGAUUUAAUUCAAUUAUCUUACAUAAGCAACUCAAAGACUCUGUCUUCUCAUUGUCAAAUCUAUAUGAUCAUUCAAUGCAACUUUCUAAUUCAUAUAUACUAUUGUAAUUCCUAUGGUCACAGAUCAAACAACAUGUCUGAUAAGACCCCAAGGGGUGGACCACUCUUUGAUCCUGUCUCCCCAUACUUCAUAAAAACCACUGAUUAUGGCCCCCCAAGCAUAAUCAACACACUCCAAGGCAGCCAAAACUAUUAUCCCUGGAGUAGGGAGAUGACUACCAUGUUGAUCACUAGGAGGAAAUUAGGUUUUGUCUUAGGUACCCUCAGGGAGCCAAAUGUGAAAAAUACGGAUGAAUAUGAGGCCUGGGUCACCUGCCAUGGUGUCAUUAGGCAGUGGAUCUGGAGUUCAGUCUCCCCAGAGAUUGCAUCCCAGAUC